ACCUACGGGACGCAGCAGUGGGGAAUCUUGCGCAAUGGCCGAAAGGCUGACGCAGCGACGCCGCGUGUGGGAGGAAGCUCUUCGGGGUGUAAACCACUGUUGCCCGGGACGAACAGCACUAUUCGUAGUGCCUGACGGUACCGGGUGAGGAAGCACCGGCUAACUCUGUGCCAGCAGCCGCGGUAAUACAGAGGGUGCGAGCGUUGUCCGGAAUCACUGGGCGUAAAGGGCGCGUAGGUGGUGGCUUAAGCGUGCGGUGAAAGCUCGGAGCUCAACUCCGAGUCGGCCGUGCGAACUGGGCUCACUGGAGCAUAGUAGAGGCAGGUGGAAUUCCGGGUGUAGCGGUGGAAUGCGUAGAGAUCCGGAAGAACACCGGUGGCGAAGGCGGCCUGCUGGGCUAUGGCUGACACUGAGGCGCGACAGCGUGGGGAGCAAACAGGAUUAGAUACCCCCGUAGUCCC
This 461-nucleotide ribosomal RNA is filed under the name uncultured bacterium. RNAcentral describes it as "bacterial SSU rRNA". It matches the Rfam family "Bacterial small subunit ribosomal RNA", at positions 337 to 797 of the family's 1533-position model. The record is from RNAcentral.